This 159-nucleotide non-coding RNA is filed under the name uncultured Odoribacter sp. Lineage: Bacteria; Pseudomonadati; Bacteroidota; Bacteroidia; Bacteroidales; Odoribacteraceae. The record is from RNAcentral.
UUUAGUUCCGUCAUGAACGAAAGUGAAAAGGGAAUCGGGUGAAAAUCCCGGACUAUCCCGUAGCUGUGAACUCUAUGGAGGUUCCGCAAGUCUUGUACCACUGAUAUUUAUCGGGAAGGUAGCGGAAAAAGAGUAAGUCAGAAGACCUGCCAAAUCAAU